Molecule: ribosomal RNA, 225 nt
Filed under: uncultured bacterium
Lineage: Bacteria
Description: partial 16S ribosomal RNA
Rfam family: Bacterial small subunit ribosomal RNA
Source: RNAcentral
CGUGGACAAUCUACCGAGAAGUGGGGGAUAGCUCGCCGAAAGGCGAAUUAAUACCGCAUGUGAUUACUGAAGACAUCUUCGGGACAUCAAAGCCGGGGCAACCUGGCGCUUUUUGAGGAGUCCGCGGCCUAUCAGCUUGUUGGUAAGGUAACGGCUCACCAAGGCAUUGACGGGUAGCUGGUCUGAGAGGACGACCAGUCACACUGGAACUGAGACACGGUCCAG